GGGGCCUGGCGGCGUGCCUAUACAUGCAGUCGAACGAACUCUGGUAUUGAUUGGUGCUUGCAUCAUGAUUUACAUUUGAGUGAGUGGCGAACUGGUGAGUAACACGUGGGAAACCUGCCCAGAAGCGGGGGAUAACACCUGGAAACAGAUGCUAAUACCGCAUAACAACUUGGACCGCAUGGUCCGAGCUUGAAAGAUGGCUUCGGCUAUCACUUUUGGAUGGUCCCGCGGCGUAUUAGCUAGAUGGUGGGGUAACGGCUCACCAUGGCAAUGAUACGUAGCCGACCUGAGAGGGUAAUCGGCCACAUUGGGACUGAGACACGGCCCAAACUCCUACGGGAGGCAGCAGUAGGGAAUCUUCCACAAUGGACGAAAGUCUGAUGGAGCAACGCCGCGUGAGUGAAGAAGGGUUUCGGCUCGUAAAACUCUGUUGUUAAAGAAGAACAUAUCUGAGAGUAACUGUUCAGGUAUUGACGGUAUUUAACCAGAAAGCCACGGCUAACUACGUGCCAGCAGCCGCGGUAAUACGUAGGUGGCAAGCGUUGUCCGGAUUUAUUGGGCGUAAAGCGAGCGCAGGCGGUUUUUUAAGUCUGAUGUGAAAGCCUUCGGCUCAACCGAAGAAGUGCAUCGGAAACUGGGAAACUUGAGUGCAGAAGAGGACAGUGGAACUCCAUGUGUAGCGGUGAAAUGCGUAGAUAUAUGGAAGAACACCAGUGGCGAAGGCGGCUGUCUGGUCUGUAACUGACGCUGAGGCUCGAAAGUAUGGGUAGCAAACAGGAUUAGAUACCCUGGUAGUCCAUACCGUAAACGAUGAAUGCUAAGUGUUGGAGGGUUUCCGCCCUUCAGUGCUGCAGCUAACGCAUUAAGCAUUCCGCCUGGGGAGUACGGCCGCAAGGCUGAAACUCAAAGGAAUUGACGGGGGCCCGCACAAGCGGUGGAGCAUGUGGUUUAAUUCGAAGCUACGCGAAGAACCUUACCAGGUCUUGACAUACUAUGCAAAUCUAAAAGAUUAGACGUUCCCUUCGGGGACAUGGAUACAGGUGGGUGCAUGGGUUGUCGUCAGCUCGUGUCGUGGAAAUGUUUGGGUUAAGUCCCGCAACGAGCGCAACCUUUAUUAUCAGUUGCCAGCAUUAAAUUUGGGCACUCUGGGUGAGACUGGC
RNAcentral lists this ribosomal RNA (1160 nucleotides) under Lactiplantibacillus plantarum. RNAcentral describes it as "bacterial SSU rRNA". It matches the Rfam family "Bacterial small subunit ribosomal RNA", at positions 31 to 1153 of the family's 1533-position model. The record is from RNAcentral. Lineage: Bacteria; Bacillati; Bacillota; Bacilli; Lactobacillales; Lactobacillaceae.